GAUGAAGAACGUAGCGAAAUGCGAUAAGUAAUGUGAAUUGCAGAAUUCAGUGAAUCAUCGAGUCUUUGAACGCACAUUGCGCCCCCUGGUAUUCCGGGGAGCAUGCCUGUCCGAGCGUCAUUGCUGCCCUCAAGCACGGCUUGUGUGUUGGGCCCCCGUCCCCGGUUUCCCCCGGGGACGGGCCCGAAAGGCAGCGGCGGCACCGCGUCCGGUCCUCGAGCGUAUGGGGCUUUGUCACCCGCUCUGUAGGCCCGGCCGGCGCCAGCCGACACCCAACUUUAUUUCUAAGGUUGACCUCGGAUCAGGUAGGGAUACCCGCUGAACUUAAGCAUAUCAAUAAGCGGAGGA
Molecule: unclassified non-coding RNA, 348 nt
Filed under: soil metagenome
Description: partial contains 5.8S ribosomal RNA, internal transcribed spacer 2, and large subunit ribosomal RNA
Rfam family: 5.8S ribosomal RNA (bases 1-120)
Source: RNAcentral